RNAcentral lists this ribosomal RNA (254 nucleotides) under uncultured bacterium. Its description in RNAcentral is "partial 16S ribosomal RNA". It matches the Rfam family "Bacterial small subunit ribosomal RNA", at positions 524 to 776 of the family's 1533-position model. The record is from RNAcentral.
UACAGAGGUCUCAAGCGUUGUCCGGAUUUAUUGGGCGUAAAGAGCUCGUAGGCGGCUUGUCGCGUCAACUGUGAAAACCCGUGGCUCAACCAUGUGGUCUGCAGUCGAUACGGGCAGGCUAGAAUUCGGUAGGGGAGACUGGAAUUCCUGGUGUAGCGGUGAAAUGCGCAGAUAUCAGGAGGAACACCGGUGGCGAAGGCGGGUCUCUGGGCCGAUAUUGACGCUGAGGAGCGAAAGCGUGGGGAGCGAACAGG